UCAAGACGAAACAUGGCGUGUAUUGUGCACAAAUAAUAUAAAUUAGUUUUUUUUAGUGAAGAUUAAGACACAAAUCAUCCAGACACUGAGACUUAAUAGUGUAUGUUUUUAUACCCUUGGAUCACAAUGAACUUUUUAUUUGUUACCGUGUGUAUUGUCCUGUGUACAGUUGCAUUUGGAGAAUCUAAAAUAAGAAGCAAGAGACAAGCUGCUUAUGGAUAUGGUGGAUACGGUGCUGUAGAUCCUAAUGCUCAACAGACAGCUUAUGGAAUGCCAUCUCAAUAUUCCUCUACUUAUGGGGCUGCGGUAGAUCCAGCUCAAUAUAAUGCUUACGGUGCAGCAGCUGCUUAUGGUAACGCUGCUUAUCAACCUGCUUACCAACAAGCAGCAGCUAACCCGGCCUAUGGUAACGCAGCUUAUCAACAAGCAGCAGCUAACCCAGCCUAUGGUAACGCAGCUUAUCAACAAGCAGCAGCCAACCCUGCUUAUCGUAAUGUUGCUUACCAAAAAGCAGCAGCCAACCCUACGUAUGGUAAUGUUGCUUACCAACAAGCAGCAGCCAACCCUGCUUAUGCUGCUGUUCAAGCUGCAAGCCCUUAUGGUUACGCUACUACUCCUUAGAAUCAGAUUUUAAUUAGAUAAAAUAAAAUUAGAUAAACCCAAGACGGGUUGGGUUCAUGUUAUUAUUGAGAUAUAUAUAUUGAAAUGUAUAUUGAAAUGUGUAUUGAUAUGUAUAUUGAAAUGUAUAUUGACCCUAGACGAUUUUUAUCUCUGUAAAUAUCCUUUAAUAUAUUAAAUUGAGUUUGUAUAUUUAGA
This is a long non-coding RNA of Patella vulgata (common limpet), 816 nucleotides long. RefSeq lists it as uncharacterized. The record is from RefSeq and is a predicted model, not a curated record. The transcript has 2 exons. Lineage: Eukaryota; Metazoa; Mollusca; Gastropoda; Patellidae.